AGCAGCAUGGCUCAGUGGAAAGAGCCUGGGCUUUGGAGUCAGAGGUCAUGGGUUCGAAUCCCGGUUCUGCCA
Molecule: transfer RNA, 72 nt
Filed under: Ornithorhynchus anatinus (platypus)
Lineage: Eukaryota; Metazoa; Chordata; Mammalia; Monotremata; Ornithorhynchidae
Rfam family: tRNA
About the family: Transfer RNA (tRNA) molecules are approximately 80 nucleotides in length. Their secondary structure includes four short double-helical elements and three loops (D, anti-codon, and T loops). Further hydrogen bonds mediate the characteristic L-shaped molecular structure. tRNAs have two regions of fundamental functional importance: the anti-codon, which is responsible for specific mRNA codon recognition, and the 3' end, to which the tRNAs corresponding amino acid is attached (by aminoacyl-tRNA synthetases). tRNAs cope with the degeneracy of the genetic code in two manners: having more than one tRNA (with a specific anti-codon) for a particular amino acid; and 'wobble' base-pairing, i.e. permitting non-standard base-pairing at the 3rd anti-codon position.
Source: Rfam by way of RNAcentral